RNAcentral lists this ribosomal RNA (541 nucleotides) under Saccharomyces cerevisiae (brewer's yeast). RNAcentral's name for it is "eukaryotic LSU rRNA". It matches the Rfam family "Eukaryotic large subunit ribosomal RNA", at positions 89 to 644 of the family's 3401-position model. The record is from RNAcentral. Lineage: Eukaryota; Fungi; Ascomycota; Saccharomycetes; Saccharomycetales; Saccharomycetaceae.
GCGAGUGAAGCGGCAAAAGCUCAAAUUUGAAAUCUGGUACCUUCGGUGCCCGAGUUGUAAUUUGGAGAGGGCAACUUUGGGGCCGUUCCUUGUCUAUGUUCCUUGGAACAGGACGUCAUAGAGGGUGAGAAUCCCGUGUGGCGAGGAGUGCGGUUCUUUGUAAAGUGCCUUCGAAGAGUCGAGUUGUUUGGGAAUGCAGCUCUAAGUGGGUGGUAAAUUCCAUCUAAAGCUAAAUAUUGGCGAGAGACCGAUAGCGAACAAGUACAGUGAUGGAAAGAUGAAAAGAACUUUGAAAAGAGAGUGAAAAAGUACGUGAAAUUGUUGAAAGGGAAGGGCAUUUGAUCAGACAUGGUGUUUUGUGCCCUCUGCUCCUUGUGGGUAGGGGAAUCUCGCAUUUCACUGGGCCAGCAUCAGUUUUGGUGGCAGGAUAAAUCCAUAGGAAUGUAGCUUGCCUCGGUAAGUAUUAUAGCCUGUGGGAAUACUGCCAGCUGGGACUGAGGACUGCGACGUAAGUCAAGGAUGCUGGCAUAAUGGUUAUAUG